UUUGUAAAACGUAGCCCCGCCUCUUGACGUAUCUUCCGGGCGCCGCAGAGAGCGGCCUUGGGUCGGAGGGCGGGGCGCCGAGGUCUUGGACCUGAGAGGGUCGUGAGGGGGCUGCAGCCUGGCCGAGGGUCAGGCUGGGGUGCAGCAGAACCCGGCCCUGUGCGCGCCUCGCGGGGAGGUUGAGAGACCCAGGGCACAAUUCGGGCGGGGCUUGCCUGGUUUUAUUUACGCCUUAUAAAGACCCGUUUUAGAAGCUACUGCUGUAGUCCUGGAUGAGAGCUGUGAGUGCGUUGGAGAAGGGCGGAAGGCAGUAGAGGUGGAAACGAGAGGGGGACUUGGGUUUUGUUUCGAAGGGUUUGGUUUAGGGGGCGGGAGGUGUGUCAAGGAUUCCGAAUUCCUCACGUGACCAGUUGGAUGACUAUUGGUGCCACUUAGUGAGAAUGGGUAGGCUGAGGUAGGAGCUGAUCUGGACGUGUGCAUUUUGAGCUCUUGGUGACUCCCGCACGUGGGAAUGACAUGCAGAUGGAUGAUCAUGUCUGGUCCAUCCACAGAGAAGGGAUCUGGACAGAAGGUGUUACUUUGGGAAUCGUUGGCAUAUAAAUGGUAACCAAAGCUACCAGAAUGAACGGAACCUAGGGAGAGCGCAUAAAGCAAACUUUUCUUGUAAAGGGCUGGGACCCAAUGACCCCUGAGGGAAGCCACAGAAGAGACGAGGACUGCCUCUCCUGCUUCCCCAAAGGUCCUCCUUCUGAAUUCUCCAGCCCCCUUUUCAUCAGCAGCCCUCCAGGCCAACCCCCUCCCCUCCAGCUGGGCUCCACUACCUUCAGAGCCAGGAGACUCUUGUUGAUUUCUGCGCCCUCCAUGCGGGUCUGCCGGUCAGCACUGGA
Molecule: long non-coding RNA, 887 nt
Organism: Aethalodelphis obliquidens (Pacific white-sided dolphin)
Lineage: Eukaryota; Metazoa; Chordata; Mammalia; Artiodactyla; Delphinidae
Exons: 3
Source: RefSeq, a predicted model, not a curated record